RNAcentral lists this ribosomal RNA (468 nucleotides) under uncultured bacterium. RNAcentral describes it as "partial 16S ribosomal RNA". It matches the Rfam family "Bacterial small subunit ribosomal RNA", at positions 28 to 507 of the family's 1533-position model. The record is from RNAcentral.
GACGAACGCUGGCGGCGUGCUUAACACAUGCAAGUCGAACGGAAAGGCCCUGCUUUUGUGGGGUGCUCGAGUGGCGAACGGGUGAGUAACACGUGAGUAACCUGCCCUUGACUUUGGGAUAACUUCAGGAAACUGGGGCUAAUACCGGGGAGGAUCUCCUGCUGCAUGGUGGGGGUUGGAAAGUUUCGGCGGUGGGGGAUGGACUCGCGGCUUAUCAGCUUCUUUGUGGGGUAGUGGCUUACCAGGGCUUUGACGGGUAGCCGGCCUGGGAGGGUGACCGGCCACCUUGGGCCUAAGAUACGGACCAGAAGCGUACGGGCGGCAGCAGUCGGGAGUCUUGCACAAUGGGCGGAAGCGUGUUGCAGAAACGCUGCGUGCGGGAUGACGGCUUUCGGGUUGUAAACCGAUUUCGACUGUGACGAAGCGUGAGUGACGGUAAUGGGUAAAGAAGCACCGGCUAACUACGUG